CAGUCGCCACGGGAAUACGGAGGGUGCAAGCGUUAAUCGGAAUUACUGGGCGUAAAGCGCACGCAGGCGGUUUGUUAAGUCAAAUGUGAAAUCCCCGAGCUUAACUUGGGAACUGCAUUUGAAACUGGCAGGCUAGAGUCUUGUAGAGGGGGGUAGAAUUCCAGGUGUAGCGGUGAAAUGCGUAGAGAUCUGGAGGAAUACCGGUGGCGAAGGCGGCCCCCUGGACAAAGACUGACGCUCAGGUGCGAAAGCGUGGGGAGCAAACAGGAUUAGAUACCCCAGUAGUCCCUGUCUCUUAUAC
RNAcentral lists this ribosomal RNA (301 nucleotides) under uncultured bacterium. RNAcentral describes it as "partial 16S ribosomal RNA". It matches the Rfam family "Bacterial small subunit ribosomal RNA", at positions 509 to 807 of the family's 1533-position model. The record is from RNAcentral.